This 767-nucleotide ribosomal RNA is filed under the name Pseudomonas sp. W7-PCAi-E14. Its description in RNAcentral is "bacterial SSU rRNA". It matches the Rfam family "Bacterial small subunit ribosomal RNA", at positions 56 to 819 of the family's 1533-position model. Lineage: Bacteria; Pseudomonadati; Pseudomonadota; Gammaproteobacteria; Pseudomonadales; Pseudomonadaceae. The record is from RNAcentral.
UGCAGUCGAGCGGUAGAGAGGUGCUUGCACCUCUUGAGAGCGGCGGACGGGUGAGUAAUACCUAGGAAUCUGCCUGGUAGUGGGGGAUAACGUUCGGAAACGGACGCUAAUACCGCAUACGUCCUACGGGAGAAAGCAGGGGACCUUCGGGCCUUGCGCUAUCAGAUGAGCCUAGGUCGGAUUAGCUAGUUGGUGAGGUAAUGGCUCACCAAGGCUACGAUCCGUAACUGGUCUGAGAGGAUGAUCAGUCACACUGGAACUGAGACACGGUCCAGACUCCUACGGGAGGCAGCAGUGGGGAAUAUUGGACAAUGGGCGAAAGCCUGAUCCAGCCAUGCCGCGUGUGUGAAGAAGGUCUUCGGAUUGUAAAGCACUUUAAGUUGGGAGGAAGGGCAUUAACCUAAUACGUUAGUGUUUUGACGUUACCGACAGAAUAAGCACCGGCUAACUCUGUGCCAGCAGCCGCGGUAAUACAGAGGGUGCAAGCGUUAAUCGGAAUUACUGGGCGUAAAGCGCGCGUAGGUGGUUUGUUAAGUUGAAUGUGAAAUCCCCGGGCUCAACCUGGGAACUGCAUCCAAAACUGGCAAGCUAGAGUAUGGUAGAGGGUAGUGGAAUUUCCUGUGUAGCGGUGAAAUGCGUAGAUAUAGGAAGGAACACCAGUGGCGAAGGCGACUACCUGGACUGAUACUGACACUGAGGUGCGAAAGCGUGGGGAGCAAACAGGAUUAGAUACCCUGGUAGUCCACGCCGUAAACGAUGUCAACUAG